AGCAGCCGCGGUAAUUCCAGCUCCAAUAGCGUAUAUUAAAGUUGUUGCAGUUAAAAAGCUCGUAGUUGAAUUUCGGGGUCAGUAGAUUGGUCGUGCCACUGGUAUGUACUGGUCUUACUGGCUCCUCCUUCCUGAUGAACCGUAAUGCCAUUAAUUUGGUGUUGCGAGGAGACUGGACUGUUACUUUGAAAAAAUUAGAGUGUUUAAAGCAGGCUAACGCUUGAAUACAUUAGCAUGGAAUAAUGAAAUAGGACGUUCGAUCUUAUUUUGUUGGUUUCUAGGAUUGACGUAAUGAUUAAUAGGGAUAGUUGGGGGCAUUAGUAUUCAAUUGUCAGAGGUGAAAUUCUUGGAUUUAUUGAAGACUAACUACUGCGAAAGCAUUUGCCAAGGAUGUUUUCAUUAAUCAAGAACGAAAGUUAGGGGAUCGAAGACGAUCAGAUACCGUCGUAGUCUUAACCAUAAACUAUGCCGACUAGGGAUCGGAUGAUGUUAAUUUUUUAAUGUACUCAUUCGGUACG
This 518-nucleotide ribosomal RNA is filed under the name uncultured Glomus. RNAcentral's name for it is "SSU rRNA". It matches the Rfam family "Eukaryotic small subunit ribosomal RNA", at positions 569 to 1087 of the family's 1831-position model. The record is from RNAcentral. Lineage: Eukaryota; Fungi; Glomeromycota; Glomeromycetes; Glomerales; Glomeraceae.